Molecule: ribosomal RNA, 1057 nt
Filed under: Haliotrematoides guttati
Lineage: Eukaryota; Metazoa; Platyhelminthes; Monogenea; Dactylogyridea; Ancyrocephalidae
Description: LSU rRNA
Rfam family: Eukaryotic large subunit ribosomal RNA
Source: RNAcentral
UUACCCGCUGAAUUUAAGCAUAUCAGUAAGCGAGGAAAAGAAACUAACCAGGAUUCCUCUAGUAACGGCGAGUGAACGGGGAUUAGCCCAUCACCGAAGCCCGUGUGUUUUUGCAUACAGGGCAAAUGUGGUGUUAAGGCUUGCACCUGGGACUGUGAACUCACCAAAAGUCCAGCUCCGAUUCUGGCUUAUUGUUGUCCAAAGCGGGUGAAAGACCCGUGAUGGUGGGUUAUGUAGUUUAUCGCAGUCCUCAGAUGUGCUUGCCUUCGAGUCGGAUUGCUUGAGAAUGCAGUCCAAAGUGGGUGGUAAACUCCAUCCAAGGCUAAAUACUGGCAUGAGUCCGAUAGUAGACAAGUACCGUGAGGGAAAGUUGAAAAGUACUCUGAAGAGAGAGUAAAUAGUACGUGAAGCCGAUUGCAGGGAAGCUGGUGGAGUCAAGCUUCAUGCUUGAGGAAUUCUUGUCAUGAGUUUAUUGUGGAUUUACAUGUGAUCAGUCAGCUUGGAAUAAGUUGGGUACAUUCGUGUGCUUCAAGUCAUUCUGGGUAGUGUGUUUGAAGCUGAUCAUUAUGUGUUGCUCAUGAUAAUCUAUUCUUCGUGGCAUAAAUCACAGUCGAUAUUGUUGCGCCCGAUGAUUGUCUAACUGUGCUUCGGUAGGCCUUGUGCUUACCGGGUGCAGAAUGGGAGGUACGGCCAUUAGCCUUGUGUUGAUGUGUCUACGAAAAUGAGCCGACUUUCAUCUGUGGUGUCUUCGGUAUCGUGAUUGCAUGGUGCUUCGUCUUUGGACCUGGCAUUAGUUAGAACUGUGAUUCUGAGGUAGAUGUUCCACCCGACCCGUCUUGAAACACGGACCAAGGAGUUUAACAUGCUCGCAAGUCACUGGGAUGAUUACGAAACCCAAAGGCGCAAUGAAAGUGAAAGGCUUUCAGUCCUAGGUGUGAUCUUAGCUCUCCUUCAUGUGGUGGCUAGGCGCAGCACCGGCCCGUCUCAAAAUGUUGUCAUGCCUGCCACGGUGGGUGUGUGAGCAUUAGAGCCAUCGCAGGAGGGAGCGACCCUUGCG